UGUGUCGUAGCUCAACGGUAGAGCACUGCUCUGAUAUGGCAGCGGUUCCAGGUUCGAAUCCUGGCGACACAA
Molecule: transfer RNA, 72 nt
Filed under: Flavilitoribacter nigricans
Lineage: Bacteria; Pseudomonadati; Bacteroidota; Saprospiria; Saprospirales; Lewinellaceae
Also listed under: 1 other name
Rfam family: tRNA
About the family: Transfer RNA (tRNA) molecules are approximately 80 nucleotides in length. Their secondary structure includes four short double-helical elements and three loops (D, anti-codon, and T loops).
Source: RNAcentral